GCUAGUGGCUACAAACGCUGGGAGGGUAUAUUCGACUAAAAUUUGAGUGCUGUCAGCUCAGCUGCAUGAUCUCGUCAGGUUUCGGGACUUGGAAGGCUUGACUUGCUGCUGCCACCGGACUGACUGGAGGCCUGCUGCAGGCCACAAGAACUGGAGGAAUCUUGCGUACAAAGAUCGAUUGAGGUCGGGCGGAGUUGUAGAGCAUGCACACAGCAUCGGCCCUUGUGAUUUCCAAGGACAGGGAUAUAGCCAAGGACAGGGGAAAGGGCUCCUAUCAACGUUCUGCAUUAGCACCUCAUGGACACCAGCCACACAUUAAGUAUCCGUUAACUAAUAGAUUGAUUCUGGUUAGGUGAUUAGUAGCAGUUUCUGGCCGGUGACAAAUGGCGUAUUUUUAUAAUUUACUAUAUGAGAUUAAGUUCCUGCGGAUCAGACUAUAUCUUUCCAUAAUUCCAGCUGUAUACCAAGUUAAUGAGCCACAUGGAGAGCUACAUAUAUAGAUCGAAAGCACCCAGUUGAGGUGUUUCUUCU
RNAcentral lists this long non-coding RNA (531 nucleotides) under Sorghum bicolor (sorghum). RNAcentral's name for it is "long non-coding RNA (SBIC_LNC000213)". Lineage: Eukaryota; Viridiplantae; Streptophyta; Magnoliopsida; Poales; Poaceae. The record is from RNAcentral.